CAUCGACAACCACCAACUGUUGGUUUGGUUGGCCCACAGUGGAAAGCUACUAAAAAGCAUAACAGGCUAUUUAGUUGGCCUUUAUGGCUGAAUUCUCACUUUGUUGUAUCAUCCACAGACGGAAGUUGAAUACGGCCGAGAAGAAGCUUCCAACCAAACCAGUCCCCCAGUUACAGAAAGCAACCUUGUCUAGACCAGAGGACAUCUAUGAAAACAUGAAAUGGUCAGCCAAGCCGAUCACUGAUCCUGAUGACAUGAACUACGCAGAGCUCAAUAUCAGGCCUGCUCCUUCACCCAGGAUGCAGUGGAAUAACAAGGAAGAGGAUGACGAUGCAGUUAUCUACAGACAACUGCAAACACACUGAGGUGGUCAGAGAACUUUGAUAUCUAGACCUCAAGGCCUACAAUAUGGUAAACUCAAGAAAAGUGAAUGAAAAAAAUUAUGUUUAAGUCACGUUUUUUAAAUAGCAAAAUACAAGCUGUUAUACUGUAUGUGUAUGUACAAACAAUGUACAGUGUACAAUAUACAAAAUAAACAGUAAAAAUAAUUAUACAAAUAUAAAAUGAUUACAUGCCUCCCCCAAAUAUGGAGGAGGCAGGUGGCAGAGGGAGGAGGUAGGGAACUGGUCUGUCUGCCCAAUAUAAAGGAUCAAAACUGGCAGAGGAAUAAAAAUAGCAUGAAUAGGAAAGUAUACCAAUUUCAAUUGAGGACCAGGAUGUUGACAACUGUGCCAUACAGAUUGCAAAAUAGUUGGGAAGAGAUUUUUGAUGUACCGAUUCCAUGGUACAAGCUGUAUGAGUUGAUAUAUAAAACAAUGCAAGAUUCAAGACUUCGUGCUUUUCAGCUAAAAUGAUUGUAUAGAAUUCUUGCCACCAACAAAAUGUUGAAUAUUUGGGGCAUAAAAUCAUCGAAGCUCUGCAGAUUUUGAUGUGAGGAUACAGAAUCAAUAGACCAUUUAUUUUGGUAUUGCUCUCAGGUAGCCUGUUUCUGGUCUCAGGUUCAGGAAUGGCUGAAAAUGCAUAGCAUUGAUCUAAAAUUGACUCUAGAAAUAGUACUGUUAGGAGAUUUAAAAUACUAAUACUCUUAGUAAAAGUAUUUACCUUCAACUCGCAAUCUGUGGAUUCUAUUCGAUUAGAUAAAAUGUUGUUUGCUGUUUUCUUCUUUCUUCUGUCUUUUCCUUUUUUCUCUUUUGUUCAUUCUCUUGGUUGUUGGUGCAUUGGGGGUUCUUGGGGGUGGGGAAUGGAAUUAAUUGUAUUUUUAACUUUUAUUCCUGAGGGGGACUGUGGGAGGGUCUCGAAUGGUUGAUGCACAGCUAUUUGGGAACUGUGGGGGGAUCUUGGAGGGUUCGGGUUCACGUUUUUGGCCUGGUGGUAGAUCGGUCAACAUGCCCUUGAGCAGGGCAUUGACCCUGGAUGCUUCUAUGUGUCUCUCUGAAUGGGAAUCAGUUGGAUGACUGGUAUGAUGUAGUUGUUGAGCAGCUUCACUGCAAAUACAUUGUAUGUUUUGAAUGUUCAAUAAAUGAGAAAAAAAAAAGUUUCUAAUCAAUAACCUA
Long non-coding RNA from Oncorhynchus nerka (sockeye salmon), 1553 nucleotides. RefSeq lists it as uncharacterized. Lineage: Eukaryota; Metazoa; Chordata; Actinopteri; Salmoniformes; Salmonidae. The record is from RefSeq and is a predicted model, not a curated record. The transcript is spliced from 3 exons.